RNAcentral lists this long non-coding RNA (251 nucleotides) under Ananas comosus (pineapple). RNAcentral's name for it is "long non-coding RNA (ACOM_LNC022222)". Lineage: Eukaryota; Viridiplantae; Streptophyta; Magnoliopsida; Poales; Bromeliaceae. The record is from RNAcentral.
AAAACUGCCCUUUUUUAUUAAAAUCUUGUCCCCCAAGGAUGCAACAGACCCGCCACAAAUACAGAAAAUUUUUGAAACAAAUAGAUAGAGUCUUCUCUAUAUUUGCACGGCGAGGCACAUGUACAAUUGUCAACCAUGACCUCCACUCACACAAACAACAAUCACGAGUCACAAAGAUUAUCAUUUCACAUUAUACAGCUAGUCGUCCUUUGUCACAACCAUUCCACAUCAAUUUUACAUUUAUUCCGACU